AUGCUUGCUUUGAAAACAUAUAUACUAAAACUGGAAUGAUACAGAGAAGUUUUGCAUGGCCCCUGUGGAAGGAUAUCAUACAAAUUCCUAAAACAUUCCAUAUUUAA
Small nuclear RNA from Ochotona princeps (American pika), 107 nucleotides. The record is from RefSeq and is a predicted model, not a curated record. NCBI's taxonomy places the organism in Eukaryota, Metazoa, Chordata, Mammalia, Lagomorpha, Ochotonidae.